CCUACGGGUGGCAGCAGUGAGGAAUAUUGGUCAAUGGACGCAAGUCUGAACCAGCCAUGCCGCGUGCAGGAUGACGGCUCUAUGAGUUGUAAACUGCUUUUGUACGAGGGUAAUAUCAGAUACGUGUAUCUUCUUGCAAUUACCGUACGAAUAAGGAUCGGCUAACCCCGUGCCAGCAGCCGCGGUAAUACGGAGGAUCCAAGCGUUAUCCGGAUUGAUUGGGUUUAAAGGGGGCGUAGGCGGUUUUAUAAGUUAGAGGUGAAAAUUCGGGGCUCAACUUCGGACGUGCCUCGCAUACUGGAUGACUAGAGAGUAGAUGCGGUAGGCGGAAUGUAUGGUGUAGCGGUGGAAUGCGUAGAGAUCAUACAGAACACCGAUUGCGAAGGCAGCUUACCAAACUGUAUCUGACGUUGAGGCACGAAAGCAUGGGGAGCGAACAGGAUUAGAUACCCCAGUAGUC
RNAcentral lists this ribosomal RNA (460 nucleotides) under uncultured bacterium. RNAcentral's name for it is "partial 16S ribosomal RNA". It matches the Rfam family "Bacterial small subunit ribosomal RNA", at positions 338 to 795 of the family's 1533-position model. The record is from RNAcentral.